UUGGUUCUUGCCCGACUAUUUUACUUACUCCUACAUAGAAAUGCACAUUUAAUUUGCUGCAUGAGAAUUGAAUAGAUCGGCGGUUUAUUCAGAGAAAGCAUUGAUUGUCAGAUUGAACUCCAAUUUUCGGAAGAUGAAAACCCUGAUAGUAUUUUGUUGCCUUGUGGCUGCAAGUUUUGCUUCUCCUUUUAAAUUUAAAUUUAAGCAAGGAUCUGCCAUUUAUGAGGCAAUUGCCAAAACUACAUCGAUGGUACAAAAGAGAGACACUGUAAAGAGAGAUGCCAUUGCCAUGGCUUUUAGAUGGAUUGAUACAAAUAGGGAUGACCACAUUGAUGGUAAUGAAUUUGCCACAUUUUAUGCAAAUGCAAACAUACCUGGACUGGACUACAGCAGGACUCGAUGGAGACAAUUGUUCUACUUAGCCAUGCCUCAAGCUGACACAAACGGGAAUGAAGAGCUAGAGAUUGGCGAAUUCCGUUCGUUAGCAGAACGUGGAAUGAGAGGAUAUUAAAGACAGAAUGUGACAACGUUCCACCCGUUAUUCUCACAGUCAUUACAGUGAAAUUGACUUAAAAGUCUGAUUCCAAAUUGACUAUUUUCAGUUCUGACUUUAAACAAAACUUGUGUUUAUUUUUCAAAAAUGCUUAACAAGUCAUUUGUCCGUUUUAACGAAAGCUGCACUUCCCGAAAUCAAAAUUAAUUUUCAACAAAUUUUUUAACACACGAAUGUGAAAUUGGCCUAUUUAUUUACCCGUUUCAAAAUCUAAAGCCUGCUUACAUUUUUUUUUAAAGUUGCUUAUCAUUUGCUCUCUUGUGGAUAGUUGCCUCGCUGGCAAUCAUACAACAUCUUUUUUUUAAUUUUUAUAUUAACAAAAUUUAAAGAGUGUUAACCAAAACUGUGUUAAUUGUUGACGGUGUCUUUAUCAAAUAAAGUACAAGCAAAUUAUAGUUUCUUAUUGUUUCAGGAACCAAUAAAAUUAUAAACGUG
Long non-coding RNA from Mytilus californianus (California mussel), 988 nucleotides. RefSeq lists it as uncharacterized. Lineage: Eukaryota; Metazoa; Mollusca; Bivalvia; Mytilida; Mytilidae. The transcript has 4 exons. The record is from RefSeq and is a predicted model, not a curated record.